RNAcentral lists this ribosomal RNA (1366 nucleotides) under Bacillus toyonensis. RNAcentral's name for it is "partial 23S ribosomal RNA". It matches the Rfam family "Bacterial large subunit ribosomal RNA", at positions 1549 to 2925 of the family's 2925-position model. The record is from RNAcentral. RNAcentral also lists the same sequence under 1 other name. Lineage: Bacteria; Bacillati; Bacillota; Bacilli; Caryophanales; Bacillaceae.
GUGAAGGCUGAGCUGUGAUGGGGAAGCUCCUUAUGGAGCGAAGUCUUUGAUUCCCCGCUGCCAAGAAAAGCUUCUAGCGAGAUAAAAGGUGCCUGUACCGCAAACCGACACAGGUAGGCGAGGAGAGAAUCCUAAGGUGUGCGAGAGAACUCUGGUUAAGGAACUCGGCAAAAUGACCCCGUAACUUCGGGAGAAGGGGUGCUUUCUUAACGGAAAGCCGCAGUGAAUAGGCCCAAGCGACUGUUUAGCAAAAACACAGGUCUCUGCGAAGCCGUAAGGCGAAGUAUAGGGGCUGACACCUGCCCGGUGCUGGAAGGUUAAGGAGAGGGGUUAGCGUAAGCGAAGCUCUGAACUGAAGCCCCAGUAAACGGCGGCCGUAACUAUAACGGUCCUAAGGUAGCGAAAUUCCUUGUCGGGUAAGUUCCGACCCGCACGAAAGGUGUAACGAUUUGGGCACUGUCUCAACCAGAGACUCGGUGAAAUUAUAGUACCUGUGAAGAUGCAGGUUACCCGCGACAGGACGGAAAGACCCCGUGGAGCUUUACUGUAGCCUGAUAUUGAAUUUUGGUACAGUUUGUACAGGAUAGGCGGGAGCCAUUGAAACCGGAGCGCUAGCUUCGGUGGAGGCGCUGGUGGGAUACCGCCCUGACUGUAUUGAAAUUCUAACCUACGGGUCUUAUCGACCCGGGAGACAGUGUCAGGUGGGCAGUUUGACUGGGGCGGUCGCCUCCUAAAGUGUAACGGAGGCGCCCAAAGGUUCCCUCAGAAUGGUUGGAAAUCAUUCGUAGAGUGCAAAGGCAUAAGGGAGCUUGACUGCGAGACCUACAAGUCGAGCAGGGACGAAAGUCGGGCUUAGUGAUCCGGUGGUUCCGCAUGGAAGGGCCAUCGCUCAACGGAUAAAAGCUACCCCGGGGAUAACAGGCUUAUCUCCCCCAAGAGUCCACAUCGACGGGGAGGUUUGGCACCUCGAUGUCGGCUCAUCGCAUCCUGGGGCUGUAGUCGGUCCCAAGGGUUGGGCUGUUCGCCCAUUAAAGCGGUACGCGAGCUGGGUUCAGAACGUCGUGAGACAGUUCGGUCCCUAUCCGUCGUGGGCGUAGGAAAUUUGAGAGGAGCUGUCCUUAGUACGAGAGGACCGGGAUGGACGCACCGCUGGUGUACCAGUUGUUCUGCCAAGGGCAUAGCUGGGUAGCUAUGUGCGGAAGGGAUAAGUGCUGAAAGCAUCUAAGCAUGAAGCCCCCCUCAAGAUGAGAUUUCCCAUAGCGUAAGCUAGUAAGAUCCCUGAAAGAUGAUCAGGUUGAUAGGUUCGAGGUGGAAGCAUGGUGACAUGUGGAGCUGACGAAUACUAAUAGAUCGAGGACUUAACCAU